Cinara cedri is the source of this 385-nucleotide non-coding RNA. The record is from the annotation of a GenBank genome assembly. NCBI's taxonomy places the organism in Eukaryota, Metazoa, Arthropoda, Insecta, Hemiptera, Aphididae.
AAUUCCUCUACAAAUACAAAUUGUUUCAAAUUUAUAAUAUUUCUAUCGAUUGUUAUUAAAUUAGAAUAUGGUUUUUAUUAAAUGCAGUUAAAAAAAAAAAUCAUGAAAUUUUAAAUAUACUAAUACAAAUCAAUGUUAUUAUAGUUUUUUUUAAGAUAAUAAUACACAAGAAGUAACUGGACUAUUUGAAAUUUUAAAAUUGUAGUUGCGUGUAAAAAUUUCAAAUAGUCUUGUUUUACCCUGAUUACAAUUGUAUUUAUUUAAUUUAAGUGUAGGUAUAUUUUUAAUUAUCUAUGGAUCUGUUAUCUAUCGAUGGAACUAAAUAUUAGGGAAAAUUAUAGUUUCUUGUUGUUAUAUUAUUAUUAUAUGAUAUUACUAUUCCCAU